GACGAACGCUGGCGGCGUGCUUAACACAUGCAAGUCGAACGGUGAAGCGCCUUCCUUUUUGGUGGGUGUGGAUGAGUGGCGAACGGGUGAGUAACACGUGAGUAACCUGCCCCCUUCUUCUGGAUAACCGCAUGAAAGUGUGGCUAAUACGGGAUAUUCUGGGUCUGUCGCAUGAUGGGUCUGGGAAAGAUAUUGUUUCGGUGGGGGAUGGGCUCGCGGCUUAUCAGGUUGUUGGUGGGGUGGUGGCCUACCAAGGCGGUGGCGGGUCGCCGGCCUGAGAGGGAGGACGGCCGCACUGGGGAUGAGCCACGGCGGGGACUCGUACGGGAGGCAGCAGUGGGGAGUGUUGGACGAUGGGAGCAAGGCUGAUGCAGCGACGCCGCGUGGGGGAUGGAGGCCUUCGGGUUGUGAACCUCUUUCGCCAGUGAAGCAGGCCUGCCUGGUGUGUGGGUGGGUUGACGGUAGCUGGAGAAGAAGCGCCGGCUAACUACGUG
This 494-nucleotide ribosomal RNA is filed under the name uncultured bacterium. RNAcentral describes it as "partial 16S ribosomal RNA". It matches the Rfam family "Bacterial small subunit ribosomal RNA", at positions 28 to 507 of the family's 1533-position model. The record is from RNAcentral.